Cyprinus carpio (common carp) is the source of this 1578-nucleotide long non-coding RNA. RefSeq lists it as uncharacterized. The record is from RefSeq and is a predicted model, not a curated record. NCBI's taxonomy places the organism in Eukaryota, Metazoa, Chordata, Actinopteri, Cypriniformes, Cyprinidae.
UGUAUUAAGUGUGAUAAACGUCAUGCACUCUGUCUGUAUAUGAAUAUAGGAGACUACCAAAUAAGGAGAGAUGCAAAUUUUAUGCAAGGCUAUAAAAGGCCAAGGAGCGCUUUGUGCGGGGCCGCACUCCGAUGGUGAAGACUUACUCGCUGUUAUUUUCAUUUUUUAUUACUUAUGAGUUAUUGUCUACUAAUAAAGCAAAGUAAGUCUCUGAGUAAUUUAUUUACGAGUAACAUAUUAUUCUGGAACUGAAUAUUCCUUUCGAGCCUCAAGAAGUCUGAACUCAGCUGAGCAGAUUUGAGUGCGAUCUCAGAGAUUCUGUAACCAUUUGCCAGACAUUACACGACUGAGAGACUGCAACGCCUGAAGCUAAAAAUCAUAAUUUGUGUUCUACUGAAGGAACAAAGUCACCUACAGCUUUGAUGCGCUGGGGAUUCCUGCAUCUAUACAUCACCAUCAGAAGACAAAAUUCAUAAAAGCACAAGACUGACUGCAGAGGAACCAGUGUCCAGCGAGGAGCAUCUCAGUUGAGCACAAAAACGAAAAAGAAAAACCAUCAAGAUCAUUUAGUACACUUACAGUAGAACAAGAAGAAAUGAACAUACAAAUACCAACACCAGCAGUAGCAGUGACUGGGGUCUCCGUUCAGCCUGCUGUAUCAUUUGUUCAGCCCGCUGUAAGGGUUGUUCAGCCCACUGUAUCAUUGGUUCAGCCCACUGUAAGGGUUGUUCAGCCCACUGUAUCAUUGGUUCAGCCCGCUGUAAGGGUUGUUCAGCCAACUGUAUCAUUGGUUCAGCCCGCUGUAAGGGUUGUUCAGCCCACUGUAUCAUUGGUUCGGCCCGCUGUAACGGUUGUUCAGCCCACUGUAUCAUUGGUUCGGCCCGCUGUAACGGUUGUUCAGCCCACUGUACCGUUGGUUCAGCCCACUGUGGUCAUGAGUCCAAUGUCAGUGCUACAUAAGUCUUCAUUCUGACUCGAGAUGCUAACUUGUCUGGACAGCGAGAGUUAGCGAUGAGCAGCUCCAGAGUGGCAUUUAUCCUGAACAAUUUGGCUCUCGGUAUCGGCCUCACAGUCAUAACAGUGGUCAUUAUCAUUAAAUUAGUUCCUUGAACAACAUCGUUGAACAGAUGUUUUAUUCUGCAAAUGCAUCUAUUCAUACUGUAAAUGACACUGUCAACUCAAAUCAAUGAUUUUUUGGAAGAAAUUAAAAAUAUUUUCCAGACCCUCUGAAGGGAAUGAUCUAAUGUACGCUUAUGUUUUAUUUCUUUUUGUAUGUAAUGCUGGCAGACUGAUAUGUUUGAUUAGCAGAAAUUAAAUGCUUUACUGCUUUUCUUUACUGCUAACAUCUAAAGACUCAUCUUUUUCGCCAGCACCAACUAAUACUAGCACUUACCUUUUCUUUUCUUGUCUAUCCUAUUCUUUGAAAAAAAAAAAAAAAAAAACCUUGCUAUGAGUUCUGUGCUAGACUAACUGAGACUUGUCAUGGCACUUGUAUACUGUUGUUGUUCUCUCGUUGGUCUUAUUGGUUCUAUUGUUCUCAAUUAUAAGUCGCUUUGGAUAAAAGCAUCUGCUAAAUGA